UACGGAGGGUGCAAGCGUUGUUCGGAUUUAUUGGGCGUAAAGCGCGUGUAGGCGGUCUCUUAAGCCUGAUGUGAAAGCCCUGGGCUCAACCCAGGAAGUGCAUUGGAUACUGGGAGACUUGAAUACGGGAGAGGGUAGUGGAAUUCCUAGUGUAGGAGUGAAAUCCGUAGAUAUUAGGAGGAACACCGGUGGCGAAGGCGGCUACCUGGACCGAUAUUGACGCUGAGACGCGAAAGCGUGGGGAGCAAACAGG
Molecule: ribosomal RNA, 253 nt
Filed under: uncultured bacterium
Lineage: Bacteria
Description: partial 16S ribosomal RNA
Rfam family: Bacterial small subunit ribosomal RNA
Source: RNAcentral